UUGCAUAUCAAUAAGCGGAGGAAAAGAAACCAACAGGGAUUGCCUUAGUAGCGGCGAGUGAAGCGGCAAAAGCUCAAAUUUGAAAUCUGGCUCUUUCAGAGUCCGAGUUGUAAUUUGAAGAAGGUAUCUUUGGGUCUGGCUCUUGUCUAUGUUUCUUGGAACAGAACGUCACAGAGGGUGAGAAUCCCGUGCGAUGAGAUGAUCCAGGCCUAUGUAAAGUUCCUUCGAAGAGUCGAGUUGUUUGGGAAUGCAGCUCUAAGUGGGUGGUAAAUUCCAUCUAAAGCUAAAUAUUGGCGAGAGACCGAUAGCGAACAAGUACAGUGAUGGAAAGAUGAAAAGAACUUUGAAAAGAGAGUGAAAAAGUACGUGAAAUUGUUGAAAGGGAAGGGCUUGAGAUCAGACUUGGUAUUUUGUAUGUUACUUCUUCGGGGGUGGCCUCUACAGUUUAUCGGGCCAGCAUCAGUUUGGGCGGUAGGAGAAUUGCGUUGGAAUGUGGCACGGCUUCGGUUGUGUGUUAUAGCCUUCGUCGAUACUGCCAGCCUAGACUGAGGACUGCGGUUUAUACCUAGGAUGUUGGCAUAAUGAUCUUAAGUCGCCCGUCUUGAAACACGGACCAAAA
RNAcentral lists this ribosomal RNA (619 nucleotides) under Candida tropicalis. RNAcentral's name for it is "eukaryotic LSU rRNA". It matches the Rfam family "Eukaryotic large subunit ribosomal RNA", at positions 36 to 671 of the family's 3401-position model. Lineage: Eukaryota; Fungi; Ascomycota; Pichiomycetes; Serinales; Debaryomycetaceae. The record is from RNAcentral.